This 1129-nucleotide long non-coding RNA is filed under the name Homo sapiens (human). Its description in RNAcentral is "HSALNT0264178". The record is from RNAcentral. Lineage: Eukaryota; Metazoa; Chordata; Mammalia; Primates; Hominidae.
CAAACAUAGUGUUUGUACCACUUCCAGCUGAAGUACAAAACAUGUAAAUCCCUCAAGGAAUGGAAAAAACAAUGCUCCUAAAGAUGUCAGAAAGACAUCAAUUCAAAAUUCUGCUAUGACGUAAUGAUACCUUCCAGGGAUGCUUUAAAAUCAUGCUUUAAAACCCUGAAGUGUAUCCAGUGACACUCAGCUGGAUGCCAUCAUGCUUGCAAAUGCAUACAAAGGCCCUUGAGUAUUUACUGGGCUAUGGGCUACUCUGAUGCCUCCUCUACACUCAGGGCCAUCCCAUUGGCCUUGCAACAAUUAAGAAUGAGGAAGAUCUGUAUCCAGAAAAGGGAGCCCUGGAGAACAGAAAGGAAGAAUGGUCUAGAAGAGCAUUGUGGAGUGGUUCUCUCAUCUUCUCAGGGAAUGUAAAUGGAAAGGCUAGAGCUACAGAGGCAUCUCGAUCUAUGAGAAAAAGGCCACGAGAAUCAUAGGGGCCUCACUCAGCCUUGUUAUCCCUGAGCUCCUGAAUCAGUGCCAGAAACCACCUGUGGAGUCCUAAUAAGAUAACUCCUUUUAGAAGAAAAUUCAAGAUCUGGCAACACUGUGCCCAAGCUUCUCUAAGGAAGAGAUUGUCAAAGUGUGGUGCCUGGACCAGCAGCAUUAGCAUCACCUGGGACCAGUUAGAAAUGAAGAUGCUCAGGCUCCAUCCCAGACCUGCUGGGGCUGGGGCCCAACAAUCUGUGUUUUAACAGGCUCCCUGUGUGACUGUGAUACGUGAUGCUCCAAGGUAACAGUGGUACUUGCAAAUCUUAAGUUUCUGGCUGAGCACUUUCAGUGUGGGGGAAAAUACUCUAUAGAACAUCACAGCCAGGGAAGGCAAAAUAUUCUCCAUAGCUUCAUUAAUUAUACUGGGAACAUCAAGUAGCCCCUGGGAAAAUCUCUACAGAUGCACUCCUGAGAGGGAAUAUUACAGGGAUUGGAGAUAAAAAUCCCUAAGGAAAAUUAGUGGCUAGUAACCCACAGAGAAGAGGAAAUUAAAUAUAUUUUAGAUAGGACUGCACAAAGGCUUAAUGCAACUUAAGAUAUGCAGAUUGAUGUGUAAUAUAAAUAUAUUUACUCUUAGCAAAAGCUUCCCUGAAAGCCA